GGGAUCCGAUUUUAGCAUGGAAUAAUAAAAUAGGACUUUUGGUUCUAUUUUGUUGGUUUCUAGGACCGAAGUAUGAUUAAUAGGGAUAGUUGGGGGCAUUAGUAUUUAAUUGUCAGAGGUGAAAUUCUUGGAUUUAUGAAAGACUAACUUCGCGAAAGCAUUUGCCAAGGAUGUUUUCAUUAAUCAAGAACGAAAGUUAGGGGAUCGAAGACGAUCAGAUACCGUCGUAGUCUUAACCAUAAACUAUGCCGACUAGGGAUCAGGCAAGGAUAUUUUGACUUGCUUGGCACCUUAUGAGAAAUCAAAGUUUUUGGGUUCCGGGGGGAGUAUGGUCGCAAGGCUGAAACUUAAAGGAAUUGACGGAAGGGCACCACCAGGAGUGGAGCCUGCGGCUUAAUUUGACUCAACACGGGGAAACUCACCAGGUCCAGAAAUCUAGA
This 440-nucleotide ribosomal RNA is filed under the name uncultured fungus. RNAcentral describes it as "SSU rRNA". It matches the Rfam family "Eukaryotic small subunit ribosomal RNA", at positions 793 to 1236 of the family's 1831-position model. The record is from RNAcentral. Lineage: Eukaryota; Fungi.